AUUGAACGCUGGCGGCAUGCCUAACACAUGCAAGUCGAACGGUAACAGGGAGCUUGCUCCGCUGACGAGUGGCGAACGGGUGAGUAAUGCAUCGGAACGUACCCAGUCGUGGGGGAUAACGUAGCGAAAGUUACGCUAAUACCGCAUACGUCCUGAGGGAGAAAGCGGGGGACCGUAAGGCCUCGCGCGAUUGGAGCGGCCGAUGUCGGAUUAGCUAGUUGGUGGGGUAAAGGCCUACCAAGGCGACGAUCCGUAGCGGGUCUGAGAGGAUGAUCCGCCACACUGGGACUGAGACACGGCCCAGACUCCUACGGGAGGCAGCAGUGGGGAAUUUUGGACAAUGGGCGCAAGCCUGAUCCAGCCAUGCCGCGUGAGUGAAGAAGGC
RNAcentral lists this ribosomal RNA (385 nucleotides) under uncultured bacterium. RNAcentral's name for it is "bacterial SSU rRNA". It matches the Rfam family "Bacterial small subunit ribosomal RNA", at positions 29 to 415 of the family's 1533-position model. The record is from RNAcentral.